UCUUGGUCAUUUAGAGGAAGUAAAAGUCGUAACAAGGUUUCCGUAGGUGAACCUGCGGAAGGAUCAUUACCUAGAGUUUGUAGACUUCGGUCUGCUACCUCUUACCCAUGUCUUUUGAGUACCUUCGUUUCCUCGGCGGGUCCGCCCGCCGAUUGGACAACAUUCAAACCCUUUGCAGUUGCAAUCAGCGUCUGAAAAAACAUAAUAGUUACAACUUUCAACAACGGAUCUCUUGGUUCUGGCAUCGAUGAAGAACGCAGCGAAAUGCGAUAAGUAGUGUGAAUUGCAGAAUUCAGUGAAUCAUCGAAUCUUUGAACGCACAUUGCGCCCCUUGGUAUUCCAUGGGGCAUGCCUGUUCGAGCGUCAUUUGUACCUUCAAGCUCUGCUUGGUGUUGGGUGUUUGUCUCGCCUCUGCGUGUAGACUCGCCUUAAAACAAUUGGCAGCCGGCGUAUUGAUUUCGGAGCGCAGUACAUCUCGCGCUUUGCACUCAUAACGACGACGUCCAAAAGUACAUUUUUACACUCUUGACCUCGGAUCAGGUAGGGAUACCCGCUGAACUUAAGCAUAUCAAUAAGCGGAGG
This 582-nucleotide ribosomal RNA is filed under the name uncultured Epicoccum. Its description in RNAcentral is "eukaryotic LSU rRNA". The stretch from base 213 to 366 matches the Rfam family "5.8S ribosomal RNA". Lineage: Eukaryota; Fungi; Ascomycota; Dothideomycetes; Pleosporales; Leptosphaeriaceae. The record is from RNAcentral.